Molecule: long non-coding RNA, 540 nt
Filed under: Elaeis guineensis (African oil palm)
Lineage: Eukaryota; Viridiplantae; Streptophyta; Magnoliopsida; Arecales; Arecaceae
Description: long non-coding RNA (EGUI_LNC018596)
Source: RNAcentral
AGAAUCUUCUAGAAGUUAGUCGAUCUGUUCAUUCAGUGGUCCGUGAAAGGUAAGUAAUAAAUCAUCUUCUCGAGAUAUUCCAUAUUUAUUCUGAAAAUAAAUAAUUAUUCUCUGAAAUUAUGCAUGAUUUAUGAAAUUAUGUUUUGUAAGAAAAGUGCUUUUGAAAUGUUAUGGUAUAUCGAUUUAUGCACCUGUUUAGUGAAAGAUUAUGAUAUAUAUUAUGGUACAAAGUGUUUUGAUAUAGAUCGGAUUUAUACUCUCAGCCUAACUAUGUUUCAGUGGGCCCCGCCAAUGGGGAUUAUACGUUGGUACUUUGUGGACCCUGCCAGUGGGGGUUGUGCACUGGUAUUUGUGGACCCUGCCAGUGGGGGUUGUGCGCUGGUAUUUCUGGACCCUGCCAGUGGGGGUUGUGCGCUGGUAUUCUGUGGACCCCGCCAAUGGGGGUUAAACAUUGGUCAUAGUCGAGGCUGUUGAGUUUCGAGUGUUUUGAAUCGAAUCGGAUUUAUAAUUAUAUUAUAUGUGAAUAUUUGAAAAUAUUUG